RNAcentral lists this ribosomal RNA (484 nucleotides) under uncultured bacterium. RNAcentral describes it as "partial 16S ribosomal RNA". It matches the Rfam family "Bacterial small subunit ribosomal RNA", at positions 28 to 507 of the family's 1533-position model. The record is from RNAcentral.
AUUGAACGCUGGCGGCAUGCUUUACACAUGCAAGUCGAACGGCAGCGCGGGCUUCGGCCUGGCGGCGAGUGGCGAACGGGUGAGUAAUGCAUCGGAACGUGCCCAGUAGUGGGGGAUAGCCCGGCGAAAGCCGGAUUAAUACCGCAUACGACCUGAGGGUGAAAGCGGGGGACCGAAAGGCCUCGCGCUAUUGGAGCGGCCGAUGUCGGAUUAGCUAGUUGGUGGGGUAAAGGCUUACCAAGGCGACGAUCCGUAGCUGGUCUGAGAGGACGACCAGCCACACUGGGAGUGAGACACGGCCCAGACUCCUACGGGAGGCAGCAGUGGGGAAUUUUGGACAAGGGGGGCAACCCUGAUCCAGCCAUGCCGCGUGCGGGAAGAAGGCCUUCGGGUUGUAAACCGCUUUUGUUCGGGAAGAAAUCCUCUGGGCUAAUACCCCGGGGGGAUGACGGUACCGGAAGAAUAAGCACCGGCUAACUACGUG